Long non-coding RNA from Saccostrea echinata, 261 nucleotides. RefSeq lists it as uncharacterized. The transcript is spliced from 3 exons. NCBI's taxonomy places the organism in Eukaryota, Metazoa, Mollusca, Bivalvia, Ostreida, Ostreidae. The record is from RefSeq and is a predicted model, not a curated record.
UGAGAGAGAUAGAUGUUAUAGAUGUAUCAAAGCAGGAGGAUUAUGAAAUGUUGAUGAGGGAAUGGACGGAGUAUUAUAACAGUCCAAUAAGUCACAAAGUAGACAACGUCAUCAGUCUGGAGUUCUCCAAUACAAAGAUGUCCGAGCUGGUCUUCCCUUCCUCCAUUGUCCGCAACUUGAGUUGGGUCAGUAAUUAUUUCCCUGAGCAGCUGCCUGAUGACUGCACAUACACACGACCUGAAGUCCAGAAGUAUUGUCUGA